CUGCUUUCUCUCACUGAGUGUUACGUUGAAAUUACGACAAAAAUCAGUUAUAUUUAUUAUAAUUGUUUUAUAAGAUUGUUUUUUUAAUGCUUGAAUUUAUUUUGUUUGAUUUAAUUUUUGUAAGAUAUCAAUUGGUGGCGUGGAUAGUUUAUGCAUAAUAUCAUUUACUGACCAACUGACAAAGGUCAUAACAAUUUGGUAGCCAUGGUAACCAAGGUUCUUAUUUUGGUAGUUGGGUGUAUUUGCUGUGUAUCUGCAAUGCCCUAUGGUCAAAGUGGUGACGGCGGAUUUGGUGAAGGCGGAUUUGGUGAAGGCGGAUUUGGCCAGGGCGGAUUUGGUCAAGGUGGAUCGGGCCAAGGUGGAUUAGGUCAAGGUGGAUCUGGCCAAGGUGGGUUUGGCCAAGGUGGAUCUGGCCAUGGUGGAUUUGGCCAAGGUGGGUUUGGUCAAGGUGGAUCUGGCCAAGGUGGAUCUGGCCAUGGUGGAUCUGGCCAUGGUGGAUUUGGUCAAGGUGGAUUUGGCCAAGGAGGAUUUGGUGAGGGUGGUAAUGGUCUUGGAAAAUAAAUAACUACAUUUUUAUGACCACAAUUUGUAAAUAUUACGAAUUUUAUCUGCUAAUGGUAUUCUGUUAAUAUGUAAUGAUGAAAUUAUUUUUAAAUUUGUGAUCAGUUUCAUUUGAAGGAAUUUUUAUCAUUUCACUUACCUUGUUUAAAAUUAAAAAAAAUUAAAAAUAUAUCUCUAAUCAAAGUCCAUAAUUUUAACUUACAUCAAGAAAAUUGCAGUUUAUAUUUAUUAUGUUUGCGCCAAUUUUCUAUUUAUCAAUAUCUCAGGGAGCUUGUUUCUCCACAACAAAUGUACUGUUAUUCAGUGACAGUGAUUUAUUGAUCUAGCCAAAGAGAAUUUAAACAUUACGUGAUCUAGCUGUUUUUGAGAUAGCGUGCCCACACGAAAGGACGCAGAAACUUAAAUCUAUGUUUUUUAACUACAUAGUUAUGUCCAAUAUAAAUUUCAUAAUCGAAAAAAAAUUACAGUGAAUCCACUUUAUCAAAUAUUGCUUAAGAGCGGUACAAAUCGUUCAAUAGUGGUCGAAAUAUGCUGGAAAAUUAGCCUCACUCUGGUCAACGUCUUAAACUGUAGUUAACAUCGCAAAAGUAAAGCAAACAGUUAAAAAUCUUUUAUUUUGGUUGGGAGAGAAAGCCACUGAACUUUCUGUGUCUUACAAGUCGAUCCUUAUCAUUUUACAUAAUCACUUGGGUAUGAAACAUGUUGCCGCUCGGCGAAGUCCCAAAAGACCUGAAUUUUCUCCAAAAACUCAAUCGCAUAAGAGUCGCUGAGGACAUGCAUGAACGAGUCAAUUACGACUUAUGACAAAUAAUCUAAAACUUUUUUGAGAUCUCAUUCGAAAGUAGAUAUAUUUUGUCAAAUUGCCGCACACACAAAAGUCCAAUUUAGCCACGUUUUAAAUUUAUAUGUUGAUAUCCGCACACUAGAUAUGCCAAAAAGAUACCCUGGAAAGGAUGUUUAAGUCUAAAAGGCAAUAUUUAACAAAUAAAAUUUAUUUCAGGGAACUUAAAAUUUUAAUAACCAGUUUAACGAAUUAUUUUAUGUCAAUAAAAAUAUUAUAUUUGA
This is a long non-coding RNA of Leptidea sinapis, 1626 nucleotides long. RefSeq lists it as uncharacterized. The record is from RefSeq and is a predicted model, not a curated record. NCBI's taxonomy places the organism in Eukaryota, Metazoa, Arthropoda, Insecta, Lepidoptera, Pieridae. The transcript has 3 exons.